UGCAGUCGAGCGAACGGACGAGAAGCUUGCUUCUCUGAUGUUAGCGGCGGACGGGUGAGUAACACGUGGAUAACCUACCUAUAAGACUGGGAUAACUUCGGGAAACCGGAGCUAAUACCGGAUAAUAUUUUGAACCGCAUGGUUCAAAAGUGAAAGACGGUCUUGCUGUCACUUAUAGAUGGAUCCGCGCUGCAUUAGCUAGUUGGUAAGGUAACGGCUUACCAAGGCAACGAUGCAUAGCCGACCUGAGAGGGUGAUCGGCCACACUGGAACUGAGACACGGUCCAGACUCCUACGGGAGGCAGCAGUAGGGAAUCUUCCGCAAUGGGCGAAAGCCUGACGGAGCAACGCCGCGUGAGUGAUGAAGGUCUUCGGAUCGUAAAACUCUGUUAUUAGGGAAGAACAUAUGUGUAAGUAACUGUGCACAUCUUGACGGUACCUAAUCAGAAAGCCACGGCUAACUACGUGCCAGCAGCCGCGGUAAUACGUAGGUGGCAAGCGUUAUCCGGAAUUAUUGGGCGUAAAGCGCGCGUAGGCGGUUUUUUAAGUCUGAUGUGAAAGCCCACGGCUCAACCGUGGAGGGUCAUUGGAAACUGGAAAACUUGAGUGCAGAAGAGGAAAGUGGAAUUCCAUGUGUAGCGGUGAAAUGCGCAGAGAUAUGGAGGAACACCAGUGGCGAAGGCGACUUUCUGGUCUGUAACUGACGCUGAUGUGCGAAAGCGUGGGGAUCAAACAGGAUUAGAUACCCUGGUAGUCCACGCCGUAAACGAUGAGUGCUAAGUGUUAGGGGUUUCCGCCCCUUAGUGCUGCAGCUAACGCAUUAAGCACUCCGCCUGGGGAGUACGACCGCAAGGUUGAAACUCAAAGGAAUUGACGGGGACCCGCACAAGCGGUGGAGCAUGUGGUUUAAUUCGAAGCAACGCGAANAACCUUACCAAAUCUUGACAUCCUUUGACAACUCUAGAGAUAGAGCUUCCCCUUCGGGANAAAGUGACAG
Molecule: ribosomal RNA, 997 nt
Filed under: Staphylococcus sp.
Lineage: Bacteria; Bacillati; Bacillota; Bacilli; Caryophanales; Staphylococcaceae
Description: bacterial SSU rRNA
Rfam family: Bacterial small subunit ribosomal RNA
Source: RNAcentral